RNAcentral lists this ribosomal RNA (484 nucleotides) under Oenanthe deserti deserti. RNAcentral's name for it is "partial 16S ribosomal RNA". It matches the Rfam family "Bacterial large subunit ribosomal RNA", at positions 1922 to 2568 of the family's 2925-position model. The record is from RNAcentral. Lineage: Eukaryota; Metazoa; Chordata; Aves; Passeriformes; Muscicapidae.
GUUUAACGGCCGCGGUAUCCUAACCGUGCAAAGGUAGCGCAAUCAAUUGUCCCAUAAAUCGAGACUAGUAUGAAUGGCUAAACGAGGUCUUAACUGUCUCUUGCAGGCAAUCGGUGAAAUUGAUCUCCCUGUGCAAAAGCAGGGAUAAACCCAUAAGACGAGAAGACCCUGUGGAACUUUAAAAACAGCAGCCACCCCAAACAACACAACCCCCCACCGGGCCCACUCACACACAAGCCACUGGCCUGCAUUUUUUCGGUUGGGGCGACCUUGGAGAAAAACAAAUCCUCCAAAAAUUAGACCACACCUCUAAACCAAGAGCAACCCCUCGACGUGCUAACAGCAACCAGACCCAAUAUAAUUGACCAAUGGACCAAGCUACCCCAGGGAUAACAGCGCAAUCUCCUUUAAGAGUCCAUAUCGACAAGGAGGUUUACGACCUCGAUGUUGGAUCAGGACAUCCUAGUGGUGCAGAAGCUACUAA